Molecule: long non-coding RNA, 382 nt
Organism: Daphnia magna
Lineage: Eukaryota; Metazoa; Arthropoda; Branchiopoda; Diplostraca; Daphniidae
Exons: 2
Source: RefSeq, a predicted model, not a curated record
CUCAUCAAGCUGAGGCAAACUGGACAGUGCUUUUAGACCUUGGCAAAGGACGAGAAUCUCCUGGAGAGCCCACUCUGUUUUCUGGUUUGUUGCCAGCUUGUGCACUUGUUCGUAGUCAUCAUUCUCUGAAAUUUCAAAAUCGAAUUUGAACCGAUUCAAACGAUAUUGAAAAGAACCUUGCAGUGAAUCAAUCCAGUAUCGCUUUCUGAGGCUUACUUCGGUAACUAUCGUGAUUUACCUCUAGCUUUCAUAGAAAAUGGCGAAUCUGGAAACUGACAGCCCUGUCGUAUGGCCGAAAUGGUGUUACAAUAGUCGACCGAAGAAAGAAAAUGGCAUUCCUGACACGGGCGUCAAAGCUCCGUUGCCAAACAAAGCUCGCCGG